This 496-nucleotide ribosomal RNA is filed under the name uncultured bacterium. RNAcentral's name for it is "partial 16S ribosomal RNA". It matches the Rfam family "Bacterial small subunit ribosomal RNA", at positions 29 to 507 of the family's 1533-position model. The record is from RNAcentral.
AUGAACGCUGGCGGCGUGCCUAAUACAUGCAAGUCGAGCGAACAGACGAGGAGCUUGCUCCUCUGACGUUAGCGGCGGACGGGUGAGUAACACGUGGAUAACCUACCUAUAAGACUGGGAUAACUUCGGGAAACCGGAGCUAAUACCGGAUAAUAUAUUGAACCGCAUGGUUCAAUAGUGAAAGACGGUUUUGCUGUCACUUAUAGAUGGAUCCGCGCCGCAUUAGCUAGUUGGUAAGGUAACGGCUUACCAAGGCAACGAUGCGUAGCCGACCUGAGAGGGUGAUCGGCCACACUGGAACUGAGACACGGUCCAGACUCCUUCGGGAGGCAGCAGUAGGGAAUCUUCCGCAAUGGGCGAAAGCCUGACGGAGCAACGCCGCGUGAGUGAUGAAGGUCUUCGGAUCGUAAAACUCUGUUAUUAGGGAAGAACAAAUGUGUAAGUAACUAUGCACGUCUUGACGGUACCUAAUCAGAAAGCCACGGCUAACUACGUG